Molecule: long non-coding RNA, 917 nt
Filed under: Olea europaea (common olive)
Lineage: Eukaryota; Viridiplantae; Streptophyta; Magnoliopsida; Lamiales; Oleaceae
Description: long non-coding RNA (OEUR_LNC000711)
Source: RNAcentral
AGCUGAAUUUGAAAUGUAUACAUGUGGAAACUUCUAGUGAUUCUUAGUGUAUAUGUAGAUCACAAUAGGAAAAUUAGAGGCAAUGCAUGACCCACAAGUGCAAUUUCUUGAAUGGACACGUAAUAAAGCAAUUUUUUGUAGUGCAACUUAAAGUAAUAAGGUAAAAUAAUUUCCUACAUAAUAUAAUUAUAUCUUUUUACAGUGUUUGUUUUUGAACUUUGAGAUAUUAAAAAGGCUUUUGUUCUAAGAUUAGUAGCUCCUAAAAACAUGAUCUUCCUUUGUGUUAUUGGUCUAGAGUUUGAGUUUAAUGUAAAAGUAGUAGACAGGCAACUCAUGGUGCUAAUUCUGAGCUACUGGUACGGAAUUUAUGUGUAUUCUAUAAUUAAUAUUAAAUGUGCUUCUUCUGUACAAGUAUAUGUGCUAAUUUUAGUAUCUUUUACAGAAAGCGAAAAAAAAAAAGAAUAAAAUGUGCAUCUUUUGUGCCAUUAAUCUAUAAUAAUUUUAUGUGUAUUCUAAAAGUAUUUUAACUUUGAAUAACAUGAAAAAACAUUGUGUUAUUGGUGUAGGGUUUGAUUUCUAAAAAUAAUAAAAUUGCAAUUUUUUUUUCGUUAUCUAAAAAUAAUAAAACAUUAUAAUAUUUUGAAUGGAAAACUUGCUCGGGUCCAGGUUAUAUAUAUAUUAAAAUAAUAUGACAGCAUCUGCUCCAAUUUUUUCAGGUUUAUACUUACCUUCCUUUAUGUGUGUAUCUUGUGGAGGACUGUUGUAUCCAACAAGAAAUCAUCCUUCCAGUAACUCAGUGUUUUUCGCUUCCUCAGCCCUACCUACUCCACUGGUAUUCUGGAAAUACUAAUGAAGAUUGUACCAUUGGAGUUUGCACAGGAGGUGGAACAGGAUCUUGCAAAGAAGUUGGCACUAAC